AAAAAUCUGUAACAAACUGAUCUGAUUGGUGGAAAAACAUUGUGAUGAUUAAAUCAACCAAUCAGUUUAAAACAGUUUAGUUUUAAAGACGUAACGGUCACAGAUUGCUUCAAAACAAAACAAACAUGGCGCCCCGCUACACAAAGUAAAAGUUGCCUUCGCAUGGAAAAUAUGGCUUUUAUCUUUAUUUUUAAAUGGAAAAGCAUUUACCUUAAACAAGAC
Paramuricea clavata is the source of this 222-nucleotide non-coding RNA. The record is from the annotation of a GenBank genome assembly. Lineage: Eukaryota; Metazoa; Cnidaria; Anthozoa; Malacalcyonacea; Plexauridae.